Molecule: ribosomal RNA, 631 nt
Filed under: Mucor racemosus f. racemosus
Lineage: Eukaryota; Fungi; Mucoromycota; Mucoromycetes; Mucorales; Mucoraceae
Description: eukaryotic LSU rRNA
Rfam family: 5.8S ribosomal RNA (bases 242-394)
Source: RNAcentral
CUUCCGUAGGGGAACCUGCGGAAGGAUCAUUAAAUAAUCAAUAAUCUUGGCUUGUCCAUUAUUAUCUAUUUACUGUGAACUGUAUUAUUAUUUGACAUUUGAGGGAUGUUCCAAUGUUAUAAGGAUAGACAUUGGAAAUGUUAACCGAGUCAUAAUCAGGUUUAGGCCUGGUAUCCUAUUAUUAUUUACCAAAUGAAUUCAGAAUUAAUAUUGUAACAUAGACCUAAAAAAUCUAUAAAACAACUUUUAACAACGGAUCUCUUGGUUCUCGCAUCGAUGAAGAACGUAGCAAAGUGCGAUAACUAGUGUGAAUUGCAUAUUCAGUGAAUCAUCGAGUCUUUGAACGCAACUUGCGCUCAUUGGUAUUCCAAUGAGCACGCCUGUUUCAGUAUCAAAACAAACCCUCUAUCCAACUUUUGUUGUAUAGGAUUAUUGGGGGCCUCUCGAUCUGUAUAGAUCUUGAAAUCCCUGAAAUUUACUAAGGCCUGAACUUGUUUAAAUGCCUGAACUUUUUUUUAAUAUAAAGGAAAGCUCUUGUAAUUGACUUUGAUGGGGCCUCCCAAAUAAAUCUCUUUUAAAUUUGAUCUGAAAUCAGGCGGGAUUACCCGCUGAACUUAAGCAUAUCAAUAAG